Molecule: ribosomal RNA, 684 nt
Filed under: Teuvoa uxoris
Lineage: Eukaryota; Fungi; Ascomycota; Lecanoromycetes; Pertusariales; Megasporaceae
Description: eukaryotic LSU rRNA
Rfam family: Eukaryotic large subunit ribosomal RNA
Source: RNAcentral
CAGGGCGUCAUAGAGGGUGAGAAUCCCGUACGUGGCCGGCGGUCAAUUCCGUGUGAAACCCCUUCGACGAGUCGAGUUGUUUGGGAAUGCAGCUCAAAAUGGGUGGUAAAUUUCAUCUAAAGCUAAAUACCGGCCAGAGACCGAUAGCGCACAAGUAGAGUGAUCGAAAGAUGAAAAGCACUUUGGAAAGAGAGUUAAAAAGUACGUGAAAUUGUUGAAAGGGAAGCGCUUGCGACCAGACUUGCUCGCGGGUGAUCAGCCUCCCUUUGGGGGGGUGCACUCACCCGUGAUCAGGCCAGCAUCGGUUUUGGCGGGUGGAUAAAGUCCCCAGGAAUGUGGCUCCCUUCGGGGAGUGUUAUAGCCUGGGGCGCAAUGCGCCCAGCCGGGACCGAGGACCGCGCUUCGGCUAGGAUGCUGGCGUAAUGGUUGUAAGCGACCCGUCUUGAAACACGGACCAAGGAGUCUAACGUCUAUGCGAGUGUUUGGGUGUCAAGCCCAUGCGCGGAAUGAAAGUGAACGCAGGUGGGAGCCCUCNCGGGGGCGCACCAUCGACCGAUCCUGAUGUCUUCGGAUGGAUUUGAGUAGGAGCAUGGCUGUUGGGACCCGAAAGAUGGUGAACUAUGCCUGAAUAGGGUGAAGCCAGAGAAACUCUGGUGGAAGCUCGCAGCGGUUCUGACGUGCAAA